RNAcentral lists this long non-coding RNA (696 nucleotides) under Canis lupus familiaris (dog). RNAcentral's name for it is "lncRNA (ENSCAFG00845010434.1)". Lineage: Eukaryota; Metazoa; Chordata; Mammalia; Carnivora; Canidae. The record is from RNAcentral.
AUGUAUCUGCUCCUCCAGGUCCCUAAAAUCAGGGUGAACUCCACGAGAUUCACCCGCGGUUUUCUUCGUGUCCAAGGUAAAUACAGUAGGCAAAAUGAGGAACCACCAAAGGAUACAGGGGAGGGGGGGGAGAGAGGGAUCCCCUCACCUUUUCCGACACAUUCCUCGUUAAUUUUCACCAGGAGGAAGCGCGCGGCCCAGGUGCCCCCCUCCACCCCAGAGUCCUUCCUUCAACCCCCCUGCUGCGCGCUGGCGGGUGGGCGGCGCGGGGGGAAACGCCUCCGGCAGGCCCGGCCCUCCCCCGCCCCCCGGCUUGGUUUUUCCCAGCUGCGGAGGUUGGGCCAGGGGCUGGGGUGCGAGGAGAGUCGGCGCCCGCAGCGCCGCGCCGAGCGGAGAAGUCGCCGAGACUCGGGGCGGACGGCGUGGUCUUCGGAGGCGGGCGGCGGGGAGCCCGCGGCGGAGGCGCACCCCGGGCGGCGCGGGCACCCCCGUCCUCUGCAGGGAGAGUAGGUAGCUCCGGGGUCCCACGGCCGCUUUGUUCGCGGCGUCUCCCCUCCUCCUCCGAGCGGACUCGAACCCCCCUCCGGGAUCCGAGGGGCUAGCGGGGGCGCGGCCCGGGGAGGGGGGAGGGGGAGAGGGAGGGGGGAGGGAGGAGGGGGCGGCGACAGCUGCUGGGUCCUCCACUUCCUGCUAAUC